This is a small nuclear RNA of Pongo abelii (Sumatran orangutan), 107 nucleotides long. Lineage: Eukaryota; Metazoa; Chordata; Mammalia; Primates; Hominidae. The record is from Ensembl.
GUGCUCACUUCAGCAGCACAUAUACUAAAACUAGAACAAUAUAGAGAAGAUUAGCAUGUCCCUUGCACAAGGAUGACAUGCAAAUUCAUGAAGCAUUCCAUAUUUUU